This is a non-coding RNA of Cinara cedri, 790 nucleotides long. The record is from the annotation of a GenBank genome assembly. Lineage: Eukaryota; Metazoa; Arthropoda; Insecta; Hemiptera; Aphididae.
UCUAUGCAAGAAUCAUUAAGAGAAGCUGAAAAUAAAAAACGAACUUCAGAAAUAUAUAUUGAUACUCUAUGUGAAGAAUUCGCUAAAAUGAAAGCGGCUGGUAUAUUUAAUCAGUGAUUAUAUACAGUUUUAGUUUUAUUAAAUUAAAAUGUAUAAUUUUAGAGCAAGUUCAUAUUGUAUCCUCAUCAAAAGAAAAAGCCAAAAAAAAAUAAAAAACAAUUAGUAUACGAGUUGCUCAGGAAUACGACAAAUGGAUCAAAUAUAUGUUGUUCAUAAAAAGCAGAUAGCUACUUGCAAUAUUUCAUAAAAAAAAAAAAAUACAUUGAAAACAAUUAUACAAUUUGUUUUAUUGGUUGCUGAUUGAAGGAAUGAAAUAAGUGAAAAACAGCAAGUGGUCGCAGAACUUAAAGAUCAAGUUCAAAAAUUGUUAUUGGCCCAACAUCAACUACAAACAAAUCUUAAUAAGUUAUUACAGGAAGAUCAGGAUAAGAGUCAGAGACUUCAAGAAUAUGUCUUGGCUAAUGAGCUUAAUCAAUGAUAUAAUUUGUGUUCCUCAAUCUAUUGUUAAAUAUUAUACUUAAUCUCUUUGUUAAGUCUAGUCUUUUAAUUUCCUACUGUAUUUGAUUAAUAAUGAAUUGUUUAAUUUAUUUUGUUGAUAUGCUUUAAAGAUACAAUUCACUACAAUUAAGUAAAGCAAUACAAUUUAAAAUUAUUAAAUUAAAUUGUUUUCAAUUAUGAAUUCAGACAGAAAAUAUGAUAUUUUAUACACAAAAAAAUGUUAAAAGAAAAC